This 351-nucleotide unclassified non-coding RNA is filed under the name Hevea brasiliensis (rubber tree). Lineage: Eukaryota; Viridiplantae; Streptophyta; Magnoliopsida; Malpighiales; Euphorbiaceae. The record is from RNAcentral.
GUUAGUUUCAUCAUGAUUAUGUGGAAUGUUGCACUUGAUAACAUUCGGUUAUUAUAGGCUUCACACACAUGUGAAUGCAGACACGUGUGUGCUUGUGCAUGUUUACAAGUGUGUGUUACUUUCCCUUUCCUGUUUUAUGCGAUUCACACAUUCUAGACUGAUGUAAUGUGUGAAUCUAUGGUUAGUGUAGGGAAACUAAAGCAUCAAUGUCUUAUAUGCCUAAUAUUAAUCACCAUCAUUUUGCAUUAGCAAAAUUAAAAUUUACUAAGCUCAUAAAAGAAAUAGAUUAACUUGCAAAAAAAAUUAAUCUACAAGGUUGGUAAUGAUUAUUGUAUGAGCAUCUGUUGAAAU